AGACAAACGGGUUAGAGAGAGAGAGAGAGAGAGAGAGAGAGAGAGAGAGAGAGAGAGAGAGAGAGAGAGAGAGAGAGACAGGUUAGAGAGAGAGAGAGAGACAGGUUAGAGAGAGAGAGAGAGAGACAGGUUAGAGAGAGAGAGAGAGACAGGUUAGAGAGAGAGAGAGAGACAGGUUAGAGAGAGAGAGAGAGACAGGUUAGAGAGAGAGAGAGAGACAGGUUAGAGAGAGAGAGAGAGAGAGAGAGAGAGAGACAGGUUAGAGAGAGAAAGACAGGUAGAGAGAGAGAGAGAGAGAGAGAGAGAGAGAGAGAGAGAGAGAGACAGGUUAGAGAGAGAGAGAGAGACAGGUUAGAGAGAGAGAGAGAGACAGGUUAGAGAGAGAGAGAGAGAGACAGGUUAGAGAGAGAGAGACAGGUUAGAGAGAGAGAGAGAGACAGGUUAGAGAGAGAGAGAGAGACAGGUUAGAGAGAGAGAGAGAGACAGGUGAGAGAGAGAGAGAGAGACAGGUUAGAGAGAGAGAGAGAGACAGGUUAGAGAGAGAGAGAGAGAGAGACAGGUUAGAGAGAGAGAGAGAGAGAGACAGGUUAGAGAGAGAGAGAGAGAGAGAGACAGGUUAGAGAGAGAGAGAGAGAGAGACAGGUUAGAGAGAGAGAGAGAGAGAGAGACAGGUUAGAGAGAGAGAGAGACAGGUUAGAGAGAGAGAGAGAGAGACAGGUUAGAGAGAGAGAGAGAGAGACAGGUUAGAGAGAGAGAGAGAGAGACAGGUUAGAGAGAGAGAGAGACAGGUUAGAGAGAGAGAGAGACAGGUUAGAGAGAGAGAGAGACAGGUUAGAGAGAGAGAGAGAGACAGGUUAGAGAGAGAGAGAGAGACAGGUUAGAGAGAGAGAGAGAGAGACAGGUUAGAGAGAGAGAGAGAGAGACAGGUUAGAGAGAGAGAGAGAGAGACAGGUUAGAGAGAGAGAGAGAGAGACAGGUUAGAGAGAGAGAGAGAGAGACAGGUUAGAGAGAGAGAGAGAGAGACAGGUUAGAGAGAGAGAGAGAGAGACAGGUUAGAGAGAGAGAGAGAGAGACAGGUUAGAGAGAGAGAGAGAGACAGGUUAGAGAGAGAGAGACAGGUUAGAGAGAGAGACAGGUCAGAGAGAGAGAGAGAGACAGGUUAGA
Long non-coding RNA from Acanthochromis polyacanthus (spiny chromis), 1164 nucleotides. RefSeq lists it as uncharacterized. The transcript has 3 exons. Lineage: Eukaryota; Metazoa; Chordata; Actinopteri; Pomacentridae. The record is from RefSeq and is a predicted model, not a curated record.